Molecule: ribosomal RNA, 395 nt
Filed under: uncultured Enterococcus sp.
Lineage: Bacteria; Bacillati; Bacillota; Bacilli; Lactobacillales; Enterococcaceae
Description: bacterial SSU rRNA
Rfam family: Bacterial small subunit ribosomal RNA
Source: RNAcentral
UUUCCUCCCGAGUGCUUGCACUCAAUUGGAAAGAGGAGUGGCGGACGGGUGAGUAACACGUGGGUAACCUACCCAUCAGAGGGGGAUAACACUUGGAAACAGGUGCUAAUACCGCAUAACAGUUUAUGCCGCAUGGCAUAAGAGUGAAAGGCGCUUUCGGGUGUCGCUGAUGGAUGGACCCGCGGUGCAUUAGCUAGUUGGUGAGGUAACGGCUCACCAAGGCCACGAUGCAUAGCCGACCUGAGAGGGUGAUCGGCCACACUGGGACUGAGACACGGCCCAGACUCCUACGGGAGGCAGCAGUAGGGAAUCUUCGGCAAUGGACGAAAGUCUGACCGAGCAACGCCGCGUGAGUGAAGAAGGUUUUCGGAUCGUAAAACUCUGUUGUUAGAGAA